CGUAGAGAAAUCGAGUCUUAAUAGGGCGUUUAGUUGCUGGGUAUAGACCCGAAACCAGGCGAUCUAUCCAUGAGCAGGUUGAAGGUUGGGUAACACUAACUGGAGGACCGAACCCACUGUCGUUGAAAAGCCAGGGGAUGACUUGUGGAUAGGGGUGAAAGGCUAAUCAAGCCUGGUGAUAGCUGGUUCUCCCCGAAAGCUAUUUAGGUAGCGCCUCGGACGAAUACCAUAGGGGGUAGAGCACUGUUUCGGCUAGGGGGUCAUCCCGACUUACCAAACCGAUGCAAACUCCGAAUACCUAUGAGUACUAUCCGGGAGACAGACUGCGGGUGCUAACGUCCGUAGUCAAGAGGAAAACAAUCCAGACCGCCAGCUAAGGCCCCAAAAUCAUAGUUAAGUGGGAAACGAUGUGGGAAGGCAUAGACAGCUAGGAGGUUGGCUUAGAAGCAGCCACCCUUUAAAGAAAGCGUAAUAGCUCACUAGUCGAGUCGGCCUGCGCGGAAGAUGUAACGGGGCUAAAACUAUGUGCCGAAGCUGCGGAUGUAUACUUUGUAUAC
Molecule: ribosomal RNA, 557 nt
Filed under: Acinetobacter baumannii
Lineage: Bacteria; Pseudomonadati; Pseudomonadota; Gammaproteobacteria; Moraxellales; Moraxellaceae
Description: partial 23S ribosomal RNA
Rfam family: Bacterial large subunit ribosomal RNA
Source: RNAcentral